CCACGGUGACCACUGCUUGCCCCCCGCCGGCGGCCGUAACCUGAGCUUUAUCUCAGCGGGGUCAUUUAUCACCGUGGGCCUGCGAGGUGAAGGAUUCCUUCUGGGGAGAAAGGUGUCAAGCUGGACGUGGUGGCACACGGGCCUCGGGAGCCGAGGGAGGAGAUCGCAGUGAGUUUGAGGCCAGCCUACGCCACGUAGUGAGACCCUGUCUCAAGCUCGAAGUCUUCCGAGCGCAGAAAUAAGAAGCACUGAGGAGAGACUGACACUGGACACCGUCAGACAGCGGGACGGAUAUAAUCAGAAAUUCCACUGGACUCAGCUAUUCCCCUUCUAGGAUCUUACCAAAGAGUUAAAGUCCUCAUAUUCCAGGGAGCCAUGCGCACCCAUGUUUAUAGCCGUACAGCUCAUGGCAGCUACAUCUUGGAAGGAGCCUCUGCGUCCAUCAACAGGUGGAUAAAGAAACUGCAGUAUUUACACACAGUGGAGUGUUACUCUGCCGUGGAGAAGGUUAAACCUGAGUCAUGUGUGGGCAAAUGGACGCACCUGGAGAACAUGAUGUUCAGUGAAGUAAAUCAGGCACACAGCUUACAUCGGCGCUGUUUCCCUUCUGCGGGAAACCCAAGGUGUAAAUAAAGAGCAAAGCAGAAGAUCGCAAGAAAUGGGGAGAUGGAUCCCUCUCGGCAGGGAAGGGGGCCCAGAAGGGGAGGGGUGAGAACCCGCGCGGAGCUGAGCUGUGCCGCGCGCACCUCCUCCCGAGGAGGGCGAGCGUUAGUACUGCACACACGGGCCGAGAGAAUAAGACAUAAAUAUUAAACAUGCCUUCAUGGAGAAAGCACCGUCCUCAGGGCACGUCCGGAGGGAAGCAGCUGGACGCCGGAUUCCGCCCCCGGAGACGAAAGGCAGGAGGGCGAAGGGAAAGAUACCGCUCCGGGACACGAGGCCGCCAGGGCCGGCAUCUGCGCGCCUCGAGGCCCAGCGGCUCCGCACCCGCGUGACGACCCACAGGCCGGGGCACGGGACAGUCCUGCCGGGUGGUCCAGGCGGCGGGGUGGACGCUCAGCACGCUCAGCACGCCCGGCAGCGGCUCGAGCCUCGCUCUGCCCGUCGCCUGUGUAGGCGCCACGGUCCACCCGGGGCUCCCAAUCUUCGGUCUGCCAGCCACCAUGCGGGCUUGUCCUGCUGGUCCUCCGUUAUCUAAAUUUGCCUUUUCUGCUUUUUCCGGAUCCACUGGAAUCUUGCCUUCUUUUAGUACAGAAAUUCUUAUUUGGAGGGGAGGGCUUGAGACAGGGUCUCAUUAUGUAGUCCAGUCCGGCAGUGAUCGUCCUGCCUCAGCCUCCUGAGGGCCUGGCAUUGCUGGUACUGAAGCACCACCGCGCCGGACGGCAUUUUACCUGUAUGUGAUUUCAAGAGCUCUGCAUAGAAGGAAGUGAACACAUGCUGUGUAAUGAAGAUAGUUUUGUAGGGCU
Molecule: long non-coding RNA, 1466 nt
Organism: Chinchilla lanigera (long-tailed chinchilla)
Lineage: Eukaryota; Metazoa; Chordata; Mammalia; Rodentia; Chinchillidae
Exons: 2
Source: RefSeq, a predicted model, not a curated record